GGCCUGGGGCUUCCUAGCCCUGGGAAAAAAAAAAAAGGUUCGCCAGCUGAGAAGCCAAUCGAUGCAGGCCCUGGUUCGAUAUCGCGGGGGGACAUUCCAAUCCCUGCAGAAUCUGCACCGGGUCCCUUGAAGCUGAGAGAAAUUUCAAUUUCUCUUACAGUAUACAUUGCGCAACUCCACAAAUGCAUCAUUAUCUUCCAAAAUAAGGAAAGUUAGUUUGUCUCAGAGGGAAGCCAGUGUCGUCCGAGACUGAGCCGCAAGGAAGGAGGGAUGAUGAUGCUAAGAAUUAAGUCAACGUAAGAAAACCGGAUGGAAACACAUAAUGCACAACAAUAACGACGUUCCUGUUGGUUUAGCAGAACGGAGACCACGAGGGAAAUGACAAACCGUUUCUGCAGAUGAUCUUUAUAUUCAACAGGUCUCAGACAACGUUUUCUGGAUCACGCCCACAGCACAUAUACUCUAGAAUGGGCUGAGCGUAUGCUCAGCCACGUGUACAUUGCUAGGUGGACGCCUGCUGUGUGGAAGAACAAACGGGCCACUCCAAUAUUGUCGAGACACAAACUGAGGAAGAAGUCAACAUAUCACUGUUGACACGGCCAGUUGCUGUUCUCCGUCGUUAGUAGUAUGGAUUGCAUUUGGUUGAAAGUCGAUUAUUUCAUCAUGUCCCCGUAAAAUAUCCAAAAUGUAUGGUUGGUAAGGAUGGGAAUCCUUUCAUUUCCCAAAGUUUGAAGUCGUAGCGUAGC
RNAcentral lists this small RNA (746 nucleotides) under Histoplasma ohiense. Its description in RNAcentral is "hypothetical lncRNA". Lineage: Eukaryota; Fungi; Ascomycota; Eurotiomycetes; Onygenales; Ajellomycetaceae. The record is from RNAcentral.